RNAcentral lists this long non-coding RNA (405 nucleotides) under Xyrichtys novacula (pearly razorfish). Lineage: Eukaryota; Metazoa; Chordata; Actinopteri; Labriformes; Labridae. The record is from RNAcentral.
GACACCUAAGAGUUUGUAUGAAGUUUGUUUCUGGUUAUUACACUGCAGAUAUUUUAAAGUAAUAUUUUAUCAUUUUUUCUGCAGGGGGAAGCCAAGUUAAAGAAUUAUUGAGGACUAUCACUGUAUAAGGAUUCCCCCUCUCUCCUGGAUUUGCAUUCGACUGUGACGCAACAUCACAGGUGCAGCUCACAGACUACAACCUGCUGGAAACAAGAACAUUUUGAGUCUCAUUUUGUUGAAGUCUCAGUCCAGUUUUUUUCAUUCUGGCACACCAGCAAUGUAAUAGUGUUCUGAAUUUGAUAUUAUCUGCCUUUGUUUGCAGGGAAUUGGUCUGCGAGACACCACUGAAUCAAAUGGAUACUGAAGUAAAACUAAAAUGGAGUAAGUUUUGAAGCUUUGGGGGGC